Molecule: ribosomal RNA, 253 nt
Filed under: uncultured bacterium
Lineage: Bacteria
Description: partial 16S ribosomal RNA
Rfam family: Bacterial small subunit ribosomal RNA
Source: RNAcentral
UACGUAGGUGGCAAGCGUUAUCCGGAUUUAUUGGGCGUAAAGGGAACGCAGGCGGUCUUUUAAGUCUGAUGUGAAAGCCUUCGGCUUAACCGGAGUAGUGCAUUGGAAACUGGGAGACUUGGGUGCAGAAGAGGAGAGUGGAACUCCAUGUGUAGCGGUGAAAUGCGUAGAUAUAUGGAAGAGCACCAGUGGCGAAAGCGGCUCUCUGGUCUGUAACUGACGCUGAGGUUCGAAAGCGUGGGUAGCAAACAGG